Molecule: transfer RNA, 69 nt
Filed under: Bos taurus (domestic cattle)
Lineage: Eukaryota; Metazoa; Chordata; Mammalia; Artiodactyla; Bovidae
Also listed under: 5 other names
Rfam family: tRNA
About the family: Transfer RNA (tRNA) molecules are approximately 80 nucleotides in length.
Source: Rfam by way of RNAcentral
CCUGAUGGCUCAGACGGUAGAGCGUCUGCCUGCAGUGCAGGAGACCGGGGUUCGAUCCCUGGGUCGGGA